This 250-nucleotide ribosomal RNA is filed under the name uncultured prokaryote. RNAcentral's name for it is "partial 16S ribosomal RNA". It matches the Rfam family "Bacterial small subunit ribosomal RNA", at positions 524 to 773 of the family's 1533-position model. The record is from RNAcentral.
CACGUAAGGUGCGAGCGUUGUUCGGAAUCAUUGGGCGUAAAGGGCAUGUAGGCGGCGGCGAAGGCCCGGAGUGAAAGGCGCAGGCCCAACCUGCGGACAGCUCCGGGAACCGCGCGGCUAGAGUCACCGAGGCGGGGCCGGAAUUCCAUGUGUAGGGGUGAAAUCUGUAGAUAUGUGGAAGAACACCGGUGGCGAAGGCGGGCUUCGAGCGGAUGACUGACGCUGAGGUGCGAAGGUGCGGGGAGCGAAC